UGGGCUCGAACGGCUGGUCAACGGCGGUGGAAACACCGCUACCCCGCAAGGGGGUCCAGUCGAGGUGCUGCAUGGCUGUCGUCAGCUCGUGUCGUGAGAUGUUGGGUUAAGUCCCGCAACGAGCGCAACCCUUGUCCUGUGUUGCCAUCAUUCAGUUGGGAACUCGCAGGAGACCGCCAGGGAUAACCUGGAGGAAGGUGGGGAUGACGUCAAGUCCUCAUGGCCUUUAUGUCCAGGGCUACACACGUGCUACAAUGGACGGUACAAAGCGCCGCUAACCAGCAAUGGGGAGCCAAUCGCAAAAAACCGUUCUCAGUUCGGAUUGCAGGCUGCAACUCGCCUGCAUGAAGCUGGAAUCGCUAGUAAUGGCAGAUCAGCACGCUGCCGUGAAUACGUUCCCGGGCC
This 405-nucleotide ribosomal RNA is filed under the name uncultured bacterium. Its description in RNAcentral is "bacterial SSU rRNA". It matches the Rfam family "Bacterial small subunit ribosomal RNA", at positions 976 to 1380 of the family's 1533-position model. The record is from RNAcentral.